GAGAUUUCCCAACUUCGGUUAUAAGAUCCCUCAAAGAUGAUGAGGUUAAUAGGUUCGAGGUGGAAGCAUGGUGACAUGUGGAGCUGACGAAUACUAAUCGAUCGAAGACUUAAUCAA
RNAcentral lists this ribosomal RNA (117 nucleotides) under Staphylococcus aureus. Its description in RNAcentral is "partial 23S ribosomal RNA". It matches the Rfam family "Bacterial large subunit ribosomal RNA", at positions 2806 to 2925 of the family's 2925-position model. Lineage: Bacteria; Bacillati; Bacillota; Bacilli; Caryophanales; Staphylococcaceae. The record is from RNAcentral.